UCACUGUGAUGAAUUAAACUUCACCAUCUUUCGACUGAGAACAAACGUUGAUGUCACAUAAGUUUUCACUGAUUAAAUAA
This 80-nucleotide small nucleolar RNA is filed under the name Bactrocera dorsalis (oriental fruit fly). Lineage: Eukaryota; Metazoa; Arthropoda; Insecta; Diptera; Tephritidae. The record is from RNAcentral.